This 372-nucleotide ribosomal RNA is filed under the name uncultured organism. Its description in RNAcentral is "bacterial SSU rRNA". It matches the Rfam family "Bacterial small subunit ribosomal RNA", at positions 526 to 897 of the family's 1533-position model. The record is from RNAcentral.
CGUAGGGUGCGAGCGUUAAUCGGAAUUACUGGGCGUAAAGCGUGCGCAGGCGGUUUAGUAAGACAGGCGUGAAAUCCCCGGGCUCAACCUGGGAACUGCGCUUGUGACUGCUAAGCUAGAGUACGGCAGAGGGGGUGGAAUUCCACGUGUAGCAGUGAAAUGCGUAGAGAUGUGGAGGAACACCAAUGGCGAAGGCAGCCCCCUGGGUCGAUACUGACGCUCAUGCACGAAAGCGUGGGUAGCAAACAGGAUUAGAUACCCUGGUAGUCCACGCCCUAAACGAUGUCAACUAGGUGUUGGGAGGGUAAAACCUUUUAGUACCGGAGCUAACGCGUGAAGUUGACCGCCUGGGGAGUACGGCCGCAAGGGUUA